Molecule: ribosomal RNA, 237 nt
Filed under: uncultured bacterium
Lineage: Bacteria
Description: partial 16S ribosomal RNA
Rfam family: Bacterial small subunit ribosomal RNA
Source: RNAcentral
CGGGACGGGUGAGUAACGCGUGGGUAACCGUGCCUCAUACAGGGGGAUAACAGUUGGAAACGACUGCUAAUACCGCAUAAGCGCACAGGAUCGCAUGAUCCGGUGUGAAAAACUCCGGUGGUAUGAGAUGGACCCGCGUCUGAUUAGCCAGUUGGCAGGGUAACGGCCUACCAAAGCGACGAUCAGUAGCCGACCUGAGAGGGUGACCGGCCACAUUGGGACUGAGACACGGCCCAA